AGUGAACGCUGGCGGUAGGCCUAACACAUGCAAGUCGAACGGCAGCACAGUAAGAGCUUGCUCUUACGGGUGGCGAGUGGCGGACGGGUGAGGAAUACAUCGGAAUCUACUUUUUCGUGGGGGAUAACGUAGGUAAACUUACGCUAAUACCGCAUACGACCUACGGGUGAAAGCAGGGGAUCUUCGGACCUUGCGCGAUUGAAUGAGCCGAUGUCGGAUUAGCUAGUUGGCGGGGGAAAGGCCCACCAAGGCGACGAUCCGUAGCUGGUCUGAGAGGAUGAUCAGCCACACUGGAACUGAGACACGGUCAAGACUCCUACGGGAGGCAGCAGUGGGGAAUAUUGGACAAUGGGCGAAAGCAUGAUCCAGCAAUACCGCGUGGGUGAAGAAGGCCUUCAGGUUGUAAAGCCCUUUUGUUGGGAAAGAAAAGAAGCAGGUUAAUACCCCGCUGUUCUGACGGUACCCAAAGAAUAAGCACCGGCUAACUUCGUG
This 492-nucleotide ribosomal RNA is filed under the name uncultured bacterium. RNAcentral describes it as "partial 16S ribosomal RNA". It matches the Rfam family "Bacterial small subunit ribosomal RNA", at positions 29 to 507 of the family's 1533-position model. The record is from RNAcentral.